Long non-coding RNA from Felis catus (domestic cat), 385 nucleotides. RefSeq lists it as uncharacterized. The transcript has 2 exons. The record is from RefSeq and is a predicted model, not a curated record. NCBI's taxonomy places the organism in Eukaryota, Metazoa, Chordata, Mammalia, Carnivora, Felidae.
UCCUAUUGGGCCGUUUCCGCGGCAGCCGGUGGGCCCAACGAGCCUCACGUUGCGCCUGCGCCACGUUACGUGCUUCCGGCUCCUCGGGGGGGUCGCGCGUCUUCUUGGCCCUUCCUGCCACCGGCACCAGGCUGCUUCCCGUGUCGCCCCUGCUGGGGCGCAAACCGUGGCGAUCCGGCCUCCCCGCGCGGCCGCUGGACGUUCGCAACAAUCCAGCGGGCCGUCCGCAGGUCGAUGAGGAUAAAAGAGUGCAGUAUAGGGGCUCCUGGGGGCUCAGUUGGUUAAAUGUCGGACUUUGGCUCAGUGUCCACCUCUGCGUUGACAGCGUGCAGCCUGGAACCUGCUUAGGAUUCUGUCUCCCUCGCUCUCUGCCCCUCCCCCCCCC